RNAcentral lists this transfer RNA (89 nucleotides) under Candidatus Roizmanbacteria bacterium RIFCSPLOWO2_02_FULL_38_10. RNAcentral describes it as "tRNA-Ser". It matches the Rfam family "tRNA". Rfam says of the family: Transfer RNA (tRNA) molecules are approximately 80 nucleotides in length. Their secondary structure includes four short double-helical elements and three loops (D, anti-codon, and T loops). The record is from RNAcentral. Lineage: Bacteria; Candidatus Roizmaniibacteriota.
GGAGACGUGCCAGAGUGGUUGAACGGGCCGCUCUCGAAAAGCGGUAUCCUGAGCAAUCGGGAUCAGAGGUUCGAAUCCUCUCGUCUCCG